UGCUUACCAUGCAGUCGAACGAUGAAGCCCUUCGGGGUGGAUUAGUGGCGAACGGGUGAGUAACACGUGGGCAAUCUGCCCUGCACUCUGGGACAAGCCCUGGAAACGGGGUCUAAUACCGGAUAUGACUGUCCACCGCAUGGUGGAUGGUGUAAAGCUCCGGCGGUGCAGGAUGAGCCCGCGGCCUAUCAGCUAGUUGGUGAGGUAGUGGCUCACCAAGGCGACGACGGGUAGCCGGCCUGAGAGGGCGACCGGCCACACUGGGACUGAGACACGGCCCAGACUCCUACGGGAGGCAGCAGUGGGGAAUAUUGCACAAUGGGCGAAAGCCUGAUGCAGCGACGCCGCGUGAGGGAUGACGGCCUUCGGGUUGUAAACCUCUUUCAGCAGGGAAGAAGCGAAAGUGACGGUACCUGCAGAAGAAGCGCCGGCUAACUACGUGCCAGCAGCCGCGGUAAUACGUAGGGCGCAAGCGUUGUCCGGAAUUAUUGGGCGUAAAGAGCUCGUAGGCGGCUUGUCACGUCGGUUGUGAAAGCCCGGGGCUUAACCCCGGGUCUGCAGUCGAUACGGGCAGGCUAGAGUUCGGUAGGGGAGAUCGGAAUUCCUGGUGUAGCGGUGAAAUGCGCAGAUAUCAGGAGGAACACCGGUGGCGAAGGCGGAUCUCUGGGCCGAUACUGACGCUGAGGAGCGAAAGCGUGGGGAGCGAACAGGAUUAGAUACCCUGGUAGUCCACGCCGUAAACGGUGGGCACUAGGUGUGGGCAACAUUCCACGUUGUCCGUGCCGCAGCUAACGCAUUAAGUGCCCCGCCUGGGGAGUACGGCCGCAAGGCUAAAACUCAAAGGAAUUGAC
Molecule: ribosomal RNA, 851 nt
Filed under: Actinomycetales bacterium AM014
Lineage: Bacteria; Bacillati; Actinomycetota; Actinomycetes; Actinomycetales
Description: bacterial SSU rRNA
Rfam family: Bacterial small subunit ribosomal RNA
Source: RNAcentral